Molecule: ribosomal RNA, 103 nt
Filed under: Krameria paucifolia
Lineage: Eukaryota; Viridiplantae; Streptophyta; Magnoliopsida; Zygophyllales; Krameriaceae
Description: partial 5.8S ribosomal RNA
Rfam family: 5.8S ribosomal RNA
About the family: 5.8S ribosomal RNA (5.8S rRNA) is a component of the large subunit of the eukaryotic ribosome. It is transcribed by RNA polymerase I as part of the 45S precursor that also contains 18S and 28S rRNA.
Source: RNAcentral
UAAGCACGACUCCCGGCAAUGGAUAUCUCGGCUCUCGCAUCGAUGAAGAACGUAGCGAAAUGCGAUACUUGGUGUGAAUUGCAGAAUCCCGUGAACCAUCGAG